CAGUUUGGAUAGACACUAAGUCAGUUUCCUGCUCUCAAUUCCAGUAAGCCAAGACUGGAGCAACAGCAGUCAGUCCCGCAGGACAUGAGAGCAGACUUCCAGCAAUUAGGGACGCAGGUGCUACCGUAAAUAAUAUCUGAUUGCGCUUUAUGCAAAACGCAAUGAAUCUCCCACAACACACCUCUUUAACCGAUUUUCACUGCCAGAGUCGAUACGCUUUGACAACAACAUGGGAAACCUACACUCAACAUUGCACAAAAAAAAAAAAAUCAAAGCUAACAUACUGCCCCAAAGUCUGCAAAAACUGCGGAAGUGAAAAACGUACAACCUACACUCCUCAUCCGAAGCCAAACCUUGGUAUUCUGCAGCUGGGUGAUCUGCGUUUUUUUUUUUACCACUAGUCAAAUUAAUCAUAGGGUUCUCUGGCGGGGAUCCCUCUAUGUGCUCUCUCUUCUUUUACAAGCUUGUCGGAAAUUUGUAAAAGACAAAUCGGAAAAAAACAGGAGACCAUUAGGAGUGGAGCCGCAGCUUUGUAAUCGAAUACACAGCCACCCCCCUCCCUCGGACUGGGUGGGCUCCUUCUGCAAAACCAAGCCCCUCCGAGGGGAGAGAAGGGGCCGGAAUAUCCCGGCUCCGAACUCGACUGCGGUUGAGGAAAGACAGACGGAUUGUGGGAGAGUGUGGGGGGUUUGCUCAGCCGGCUGUGAGCAGACCCGGACCCGCAGGCUCCGUUCCCUGAAAAGCCACGGGCAGAUUCUGGCGAAGCUCCAGCCCAGUAGCCGAGCCCCUUUUCCCCCGGGGAAGCCCGCCUGCCCCGAAUUCUGGAUCUGGCAGGAUCAGCCCGGCGUCACGCGUGAGGAAUCGGCAGCGGGUGGAAUCGGCAUUACAGAAGCCGCCAGAACGCCCUGCGAAAGGCUUGCGCAAAGCCUGCCAUCCCUUCAGCUCCGGUGACCGUUCACUAGCUCAAAAGCUCAGCUGGGAUGAAAACCAGGAGGCUCAGAGCUCAGGACUCCUACCCCAGCCGGCGGGCUGAAAAACCUCCUGUAGGCACAGAUCUGCUGCUUACAGGACAUCAGGCCAGCAGGGGUAGGUCAUACUGGGGAGGACAGAUGAAUAUAGGGGAGAAAUGAUCUUAGUAGAGAGUUUUUGUCUUUAUUUUCAAGGACAUUUUCCAAGUGAUGCCUUGCUGCUCAUGUCUCUUCCAAGAGUUUUGCCCACGAUGUGGUUUUUUUUCUUGUAUCCCAAGAAAAAUAGGUCAGAGAAAACCAAAAAGAGACAAAUCGACUGACCAGCCGCUCCCAAUGAACGGCGCCCCCAGGCAGAAAACAGAAUUCGCCCCGGGGAAGAAUAUGCCGGUGUUCGAUCGUCCUUACCCUCAGGGGACCAGACGAGCCUCAGUAAAGCCUCUCUACUGAACCCGUGAGCUCGUUGGCACCCAAAGUGGAGUGGAAUAAUGAGCACUGAGCACCAGGCCCGGACCCCCCCUCUCUAACCCCGCCACAGUUCAACCACAGGAACAGGAAGUGCUCCCUCCAGCCGAACCUGGCCCAAACCCACCGCCCCCUAAUCUCACCUGCCAGGGUCGAUUUCACCCUGCUGCAAUCUGAUUUUGUGGUGGAGAUGGAUAUUGCUUCACACGGUUUUGCGGCUUUAGAAAGCAGAUCUCUUCUGCAGGGUUGCAUAAACCAGAUGCAGGCAGAACACCAGUAAAACGGAGCCCCCAGUUGUUACAGAGGAAUCAGGUUUGAGGUGUACAGGUCAGCGCUGCCCCCCUGCCCAGACAUGCCGUGUCUGGGUUGCAAAGUCUUAUGGCGGGAGGCACGAAUGAUCAUCUGCGACGCUCCCCGUCACACCGCGGUAGGGACGCUAGCGAGCUUCCCCUCGGCAGACCACAGUGCCUGGGACUCCUGUCUGAGCUGUAAUCAGAUGCCCGAGGCCACAGGCGCGACUCUGUGUGCAAUUGCAAAGGGCAGCAUGGGGACUAUUUUUAUUAACAUCAGUGUAAGAUCUUUGCGAACAGAUCUGGGGGGGGGUGGAGGGGAGUUUUAGAUGAUUGGCAGAUUUUGGCCUCAUCGUCACCGAAACCCAAUCGAACAGCUCCAGACAUCAUUCCAGCCACCCACCAGACACCACCACAGGUCCGGACUCGUUCCUCAAGGGAAGCGGAGGAGAGCUCAUGCUCCUGAAUAACCAUUCCCGACGCAUGAGGAAAUGACAGUCUCUCGUGCAACGGGCAAAGCCGAACCUGAUCUCUGGGUUCCUUGACCCUUAUCGUGGCUUUGAUUUAAAACCAAAAAGCCGCUGCAGAAAUGCACAAACCGCUGAAGUCAAGGAAUGAUCUGAACUGGGGAAGAAAAACAAACAAACUGUGGGGUUUUCUUUAGGCUGUUAAACAUUUUUUCCCGCCCUGAAUACACACUUGGGAUUUCUCCCUCCUGUGUGGAGCAGAGGGAUUCAAGGGCUCCUUGUGCCAGUUUUUUCCAGCCUGAGUAAACUCCAUUUGCGUCAAGGUGUGACGUUGACACUAGACAGGGCCGACCCCAUGCGCUCUGCUCCGAAAACCGCAGGAGCCAUCGGAAACGUUUGGGCUCGGAAGAGAGAGACCAGACCGUCCAAAUUCUUAAAGCGCUCGCUCACCGGCAACUCGGAUUUCUGGAGUUCAAACGCGGAGUUGUUUCUUUAAAACGUGCGCAUCACAGGGCAAAAACCUUCAGUGCAAAAACUUCCAAAUCGGAAUCCGGAGAAAUUCAACGUUUGCCCCUUUACGCUAGACUGAAGAAAUCUGCUCUUCAGGAGAAGUUUGGAAAACUGGCGUCAUUUUUUUAAAAAUCUGGGCGUGGCCAGGGAUAAUCUGUCAAUACAUAACCUAACCUCAAAGAUAAGGGUAUCUUAGCACAGGAACUCUUGUGUAAUUGAUGACACUGUUGAAGUAUCUCUUGGCACAGCACCGAGUGUGAAAGGAGGCGUAAGAACUCCAGAUAUGGCCUUGUACAACAAUACACUGCUAAGAGGAAACAUCUGCCAAUCUGUGUUUUUACUUCACAAAAAAAGACCAGCUUCGGCUGGUGAUAUUCAACCCGGAAAAUGGAGAAGAAAAAAAAUCGCCAGGCAAGUUUCUCAAAAUUGACUGGAACACAGCUCUCCUAGUCAGCACCCAGUCUCUGUUUCAUUUGAAGGCUGUUUUGGGUAAAUUUGUUUUUCAAUUAAAUAUGGGGGAAAGUGGGCAUCAUCACCGAUCCCAAAUUUAAAUUUGCCCGUCGUUGCGUGGGCACGUGGCUCAACCCAAUGAACUUAAUACAGACCACAAGCAGAAACAGCAGCUCAGUGAACACAGGAAGCUCUUCUUUGCACAAACAGCGGGGAGGCUCUGGAACAGACAACCCAGCCAUUUAGUCAAAACCAAUUCAGAAGCUUUCUUCGAGACAUCACUGAAUUAAAUUGUCAGAAUAUUGAGCUACUCACAAAACAGCGUUGCCAUCUAAUAUAUAUCCUGAUCUGUUCAGAUCUCAGACAGCCAGCAGGGCUGGGCCCAGUCUAUACUGGGGCGAGACUUCAAAGGAAACUAGGUUGCUGCUGCUGCUGCAAGUGGUGUUGGUGGACCAGUAGGAGGUGCUCUUCCCACUGGACAAGAAUUUACAAACAAUUCUCUAGGCUGGGGUCAACAGGAAGUUGUCCUUUGGCCGACGCCUCCCAUGGGGAAAAAUCUCAUGGCAGCGCUCGGGCAGGGAUGUUAAAUCUGGUGCCCUGGCUAAACUUCACUCUGGGCUUAAAGACCCUCAAGUAUCCACUUAAUUCAACCACUGAAGUCCUUUCCCACUUCUCCCUCUGACCAGCUGGGAAGGGGGGCUGCUGCUUGGCAACCAGUUGGGGCCCACACGUCAGUGGAGAACGAUGGGGGUCCCCCUCCUGUACAGCAGGCCAAAGUGUUUCGGGGUCCUCCGGGAUGAGCAGUUAUCAUUAACCAUCACCGUGAGAUGGCCCAAUUGGCCUCCAGUCGCCUUACCGCGGCCAAAAGGCUCUAUAUUCGAUGCGAUUUAUUUUUAUAUAGCGCCUUUCACAACAAGGUCGCCCCAAGGCGCCCAACAAUGCAAGUGAGUGUACAUUUAGUCAAUACAGAACAGAAGACAACGGAGGAGAGGAACCAAAAACUCCCGAGUAAGGACUCCUCCUCAUUUGUUUGACUCCCAAGUGGAAAAGUAGCGGAGAAUCCGUGCAAUGCGGAUCCAGCCCAGUGUCCAAGACGGCGCCGUCCAUCGACGCAGUAGCACAGCUGCGUUUUCGCCGUUCAGCAGGCAAUGACGGAAAGGAACGCAAACACGGGGGAGAACUUCCCAGGCAGACCUCGGAGAGUCAUUCGGGACUCCGACGGCAACUAUUUUAAAACGCACACGGUCACGGUCUCAGGAUACAGACGGAGGAGCGCGUGGGCUGGGGCGCUGGGGAGGGGGAGACGCUGGAAAAAGCCUUAGUCAGGGCGGGAGAUGAUGAGAUCUGUUUGCGCGGAGGCGCCGCUUGGCGUCACGGGCUGACCCACAGCGCGGAGGGAGAGAGAGCCGUGGGGCUCAGCAGACGGGGAGCACGAUGCCGUCUGUGAGUGAGAUGGGACGUCCGGGCGGCUGGAUUCACCUGUGAUUCAGCACCACUCACAGACCCAGGCAGCAGGCGGAAACAAUCUGGGAAUUAAGGGCAGAUCACAGUUUUCCAGCCCCCUCCUCAAAUAAAUAAACUAUUCCCUCAACCAUACCUUUCAAAAUUGUUUAAUUAAAAGGCGCAGUCAGCUAUAAAAGUUGCUUAAUUGACCGCUACUAAGAGCUCUGGUCUCCCUAGGGCCCGAGUCCGAGAGCUCAGAUUUGCAGAAUAUAACUGUAACAGACUGUUUUUAUGCCACCACAUGGUAGAAAAGAGAUUUCUGCUCUGGAAGUGGUUCAGAGAAGAGCAGGCGGCCAAAAAGCAAUCCUACAGCUUAAGCAAAUAACUCCGUACAGACAGGCUGGGGUAACCAGAGCGUUUUAAACUUGAAUACCAAGCCCAGCAGGGGAAUUCAGACAG
Molecule: long non-coding RNA, 5049 nt
Filed under: Lepisosteus oculatus (spotted gar)
Lineage: Eukaryota; Metazoa; Chordata; Actinopteri; Semionotiformes; Lepisosteidae
Description: lncRNA (ENSLOCG00000022398.1)
Source: RNAcentral